Molecule: unclassified non-coding RNA, 423 nt
Filed under: Hevea brasiliensis (rubber tree)
Lineage: Eukaryota; Viridiplantae; Streptophyta; Magnoliopsida; Malpighiales; Euphorbiaceae
Source: RNAcentral
UUUGUGAUUAUCAUCAUGAUCAUCAUCGCGAUCAUGAUCAACCCAUCUUUCAAUGCACUCUCCAUGGAACACGUGGCAGCAGUUCCUUAGUUCUCUGACUUCAUCAUGCUCUCUCAAAUGGCCCAAGCAGACAGCACACGUGUCACAAGCUCCUGAAAUCCUAUCAGUGAGGUCACCAAAAGUGGUUAAAAUCAGACCGUCCCUUAUCUGUUGAGAAGAAGGGAGAGAAUGGGAUUGGUGUAGAGAAUCAUUGGUGGAAGGAGCAGGCAAAUGGGUUCUGUUUCUGAACUUGAGAGCCCAAGACAAGGACCAUCGCAAGACUGCAAGAAUCACAGCUGCCUUGUACAAGAGAUGGGUUACUAUUACACAAGAAUCCUCCUCAAGGAAACCCAUUAAAAGAAAGCAGAAUUUUAUCAAGAACAA